UCCAUCCUAACCAUCUUCUGAACGUUGUCCCAGGACUUCUUCAGGCCCUCAUCACUCGUGUAAGUCUUCAUCGCCUCCUUCAACUCGUCCUGCGCUUUGGUGUCCAGCUGAGGGGAGGGAACGACAGCAGCGUGUCACACGCGGACCGGCACAACAACACACAGAUGUGUUCAUCACAGCCUGUGGAUCCGGGCCUUACCGUAUUGUGGAAGACGUGUAUCACCAGCACUAGCGUCACCUCUGUCAGAACCAGGAGCAACAGGAUCACAAAGAACUGCAAGACAAUAGAAUAGAGCUAUUUUUUAUCCUUCACAGGGGCAAAACAGUUAAUGCAAAUGAAAUGACGGAAUUAAGUGAACAUGGCAACAGAAAAGCACAGAAAUCCUAAAACUACAAAGAGAGAGAGGUUAGUGUAGCCCAUAAUGUUCCUGAAUAUUGGACAUGCGUGAGCAAUUUCUGUUUUCUUUAGCCUUUAAAGACGAUGUCUAUGAACUGUCUUGGGUUUAAAGGUGAAACAGUUGUUACAUCCCCCUCUCUAGAUAAGACGGCGUGCUCUGCGUAUCUCGUGACCUCGUCCCCACCCGCCCGACGCUUCACGUGUUGGUGCUGUGGAGGGUCAGUGAGUCGUAGUGUUCAGUCACCGUCAUGAGGAGGCAGCGCUGCUCCUUCAGCGCGCCCAGGCAGCCCAGGAAGCCCGUGACCAUGGUGACGCCGCCCGCCACCAGCAGCAGGUUGGCGGCGGAGAGCGAGGGGAAGGACAGGGGCAGGGAGGAGAAUUCGGCCUGGGUGAAGGACAGCCACACCCCGACGCCAAACAGCCCGCAGCCGCCCAGC
Long non-coding RNA from Gadus morhua (Atlantic cod), 834 nucleotides. RefSeq lists it as uncharacterized. NCBI's taxonomy places the organism in Eukaryota, Metazoa, Chordata, Actinopteri, Gadiformes, Gadidae. The record is from RefSeq and is a predicted model, not a curated record. The transcript is spliced from 2 exons.